RNAcentral lists this long non-coding RNA (209 nucleotides) under Gallus gallus (chicken). The record is from RNAcentral. Lineage: Eukaryota; Metazoa; Chordata; Aves; Galliformes; Phasianidae.
AAAUUUGGUGCCACGUAUCUUUUAUCAGACAUGGGUCCACUGUUAUUCCUCUCGCUUCAAGAUUCUUUCUGACAGUUGUCACUUCAUCAUUUGCCAGAUAUGCUGCAUGUUCUUCAUUGCAUUUGAUUAACUUCUCAAGUUCAUUUUUUGUUUCAUUACGUAUAUUCUGCUCUUUGGUGCGGCUUAUCCAGUAUAGCCACCUCUUUUUC